This 2084-nucleotide unclassified non-coding RNA is filed under the name Hevea brasiliensis (rubber tree). The record is from RNAcentral. Lineage: Eukaryota; Viridiplantae; Streptophyta; Magnoliopsida; Malpighiales; Euphorbiaceae.
GAUUACCGGAGUUUAUAAUCUAUUUCUCUCUCUUCCAUAUUUUUGCUUUUUCUUUUAAAGAAAAAGUCACACUUACGCCUUCUAUAUGUGCCACAUUUGCAGAGUCUCCUCCUUUGUUCAAAUUUAACUUCACUUUCCUUUUUUUUCCCCUUCAAUUCUUAGAAAGUAAUCCUUUCUCUCUCAGUGUGCUCACUUAGAGCAUCUACUCACUUUUAAUGGAGGAAAAAGAAAGUACAAUUACUGGGUUACCAGGAUACUCGGAGACCGACUCGAGCAGCGUGGUUAUGCCGCUGGUGAUGACUAUAAACAUGAACAUGGCUGCAGAGAACAUGAGCAUGGAAAGAAGCUUGAUUGCAACAACUACACCACCAACCACAGGAAUUGAUGGUCCUGAUGGAGGAUCAGGACACCCAGCAAAUGGAAGUGAGGAUUUGAUUGGGAAAAAAGAAUAGAGUAAGACCAAAAAAGUAUGAUUCAGAUGGCAACCUGAGAGUGCAGCCAUUUCAUCAUCAUAAAGCAGUGCCUAGAGGAGCUUUAACAUCACCACCUGCUGGUUUCUCUUUCUCUCCUUCUACUCCUUCUGAUGGCUUAAUCUCUUCUUUGAAAAGACGCCGAGGCAAAGAAACCAGAAAUUGAAAGGGAAAAGAAAACAGCUUUAGGAGACAAAAGCAGCCUAGUUUACUGUUUUUAGGCUUGCUUUUGUUUUGUGCCUUUUCGAUACUGAUUGGUUCCAGAGAAAGAUGUAGGAAAAUAUAUGUGUGAGAAUUUUGUAGAUUACAAUUAUCUUUUUUUUUUUCUGAAACAAAAAUCUAAAAGAUUCAAACCUACUAUAUCCAAUUAUGACAUUUAAGAAUCAGGGAAAGAAAAGAAAUCGGUUGAAGGACUAGAAAAUUCGUUAAUUUUGCAAUGCUUUACAUUGACAAUUAUUUUAUUGGAUAUGAAACAAAGAAGAUAUGAUUUAGAUGAUGAAUUUCAUCCAUAUAUUGAUGAUGGAAGAAAUUUAGCUAAACCUUCUUCAUUUUGAUGUUUGAUUUUCCAAUUUUAGAGAGAGAAAAAUAAUUGUACUUAUCUUUUUUUUUCUUUUUUUCUCCCUUAUUAGAUUAUGUCUGAUAAUAUAGGUUUUGAUCUUGAAGGUGAGUUGUUUGCUAACACAGCAGGAGGUGACUUCACUCCUCAUGUGGUAAUUGUGAAUACAGGAGAGGUUCUUUAUUACUACUUUUCUUGUUUAUUAUUCUACUAAUUAAGAUUUAAGAAUUAGUUUGCCAUAAUUUAGAAAGUAGCCUUACACUAGCCUUACACUAUUACUUUCAGGAUGUUGCAGGGAAAAUUCUAGCAUUUGCUCAGAAGGGUCCAAGAGGAAUUUGUAUUCUAUCUGCAAAUGGAGCUCUUUCUAACGUCACCAUUCGCCAACCAGGUUCAUCUGGUGGAAUCUUGACAUAUGAGGGCCGUUUUGAGAUAAUUUCAUUAUCUGGGUCAUUCACAGUCACUGAAACUGGUGGUCUAAGAAGUAGGACUGGUGGACUGAGCGUAUCGUUGGCUAGUGCUGACGGUCGUGUAAUUGGCUGUAGAAUUGCAGGCCUCCUAUUGGCAGCCAGCCCUAUCUAACUUCAUUUGCCAAAUGAAAUGAACGCACACAAGAGAAAGCACCAUCGUGAAAAUGCAAUCGGUUCUCGGAUCCCUGCAGGUGCUCAAGAUGUACCGACAGAAGCAAGACCUAUCUCAGAGGCAAAACCUGUUGGUGAGACAUGUUUAAUCUCCGCAUCUUCAUUGCCAGAACAGAGCCAUGAAGGAGCAGAAAACAGUGCAAGCGACCAACAGAUAUCAAAUGCUGCAAAUCCAUUUACUCCCUGUUUGAAUGUAUCACAACACAUGUAAUCAGAAACCAUCCCCUGACAUCAAUAUGAAUGAAGAGGAUGCACAUGGUACUUAAUUCGUUGAUUUAGUGCUUAAUUUUAUUUCAGUUAGUAGUACUUGACAAACUCGGAGGCUGAAAAGACAAACCAAAAGACGCUAAUUCUAUUUGUAUUGUAAUAAGGACAAUCACAUAUAUGAAAAAAAAAAUCCCUCACGAUUUUCAUCACCAA